CCCAGCACUAGACUGUUAAUCAGGGAGAGUACAAAGAUAAAUGCCAAUCUGCAUUAAUGUUUAUUACCUCACAUUUUUAACAAAUACUUCCGGGCACUGCUAAUGGCGGCAGUAUCUCUUUAGACUAAGUUUCAAAACUCCACUUAUGGCCAGGAAGCAACUGGUCGUGUGUAACCGUCUGUGUUAACAAUGGCUUUAUGGCCACCACAGGCGUCCUGAGAGUGACUUUAUAGGACACAUGCACAGUAUCCUACUCCUCUGGGCAUUUGAAAUCCACUUUCCCCAUUGAACACAAGACGCCCCCAGAUGGAUCCCGUAUCCCAUAGCAGCGUGUGUAGUGGUUGUCUCAAUAGAAGAUAAGGAUAUGGACACAGUUGUAUUUUGUGACUGUUGUGUCACACUACCCUAGGCUUUGAUGUGCAAAUAGUGCUUUUCUCUCUGUUACCCAGUAGUGUAUAGUUCUGACUUUUUGUGUGUCAUUGAACAUAGAAGAUUCCAGUGUGCAGUUUACCCACAUCCUUCCCAGGGAGUUAUGGGGUGUUAGGUACUUUUCUGUAUCCUGAAACCUUUUUCUGACAUGCAGGACCUGCGAGGAGCAGCACUGCUGUUGGGCAAGGGUCUCCGAACGGUCAUGCUGGAACAUUGCUUUCAGUCAUUUUCAUGACAGACAUUAUCUGUGUGACUUUCCCUCUUCACUUCUCCAAGGCUCUGAAAACUCAGAUGGGGCAAUAAAGGCUCAGGGGAGGUUACACUUGCCCAAGUGUUUUGCAUUUGAAGAUGGGCAGAUCUGGUUUCCAUUGUCUGGAUCCUACGUGUGUUCCAACCCAUCCCAUUUAGUCCACUGGGAUUUGACCUGGUGUAUUGGCCCUGGAAUUCCAGCUUUCAACCCUAUCCUGCUGUCAUUGUGGUCACCAGCAUGUACACAUGCCAUGCUGAGGUAAGGGGUGUGUAGGGCAUUUCCAUAGUUCCAUGAUGGAUUCCCUGGGUCAUUUAUUACCCCCUUUGCUUGUGGAGACACAUGGAACGGUUGGGGUUUGUUUUAUUAAACGUGGGCCCAAUGAGCUCUUGAAACACCAGCCCUUGGAACAGCAGGGUCCACUAGACUCCCUAGACUACAUGCCUAACUCCUGCUCUGUGUCUGCCAAAAAUUCUCUUCUGAAUGCGUCUUGGAAAGAAAAUAGUGACUGUGCUGUUCACCUUGGGGUUUCCUUAGUGUAUAAGGUUGAGAAUAGCUUCCCAGGUCAUCUCGAUUCUCAUGGCCUUCAUUAAUGUGGCACAAACAGGGCUUUUCCCACAGGCAAAGGCCACAUUUUAAUCAUUUUGAUGAAGGCUGAGUUUAUGUACUAUGGUUCUCGAGGCUCUUUCACCAAGAUGGCUCUUUUCAUCAGUAUGUUGUUUUAAGCAUCUUACUCUUUGGUAGAGGCUGGUGGGACGUAUAAGGACAGAGGCAUUGUCACCCGCUUUAUA
Long non-coding RNA from Chrysemys picta bellii (western painted turtle), 1467 nucleotides. RefSeq lists it as uncharacterized. The record is from RefSeq and is a predicted model, not a curated record. Lineage: Eukaryota; Metazoa; Chordata; Testudines; Emydidae.